Molecule: long non-coding RNA, 592 nt
Organism: Dicentrarchus labrax (European seabass)
Lineage: Eukaryota; Metazoa; Chordata; Actinopteri; Moronidae
Exons: 2
Source: RefSeq, a predicted model, not a curated record
CACACUGACUGGAGCUGGGUGCAUGAACCAGGCUGACCGCGGAGAUGCGACCGGUUCUUGCUGUAAUGGUGGUGUGUGUGUGUGUGUGUGUGUGUGUGGUGAGGUUGGGGGGCAUGAAAUGAAAAGUGAAGUUUCUGCGUCUCCCUCAAAACUUGCCGGCGUGCGUCGUUUUUUCGUCGCGCUCGCCGUAACGACAACGUCUCCACUGGACGCAAGUUGUUUAUCCUCGAAUGACCCCAAUGCUGAAGCGAGAACAUCCCGUUCCUGAGAUAUUAAUAGCUCCCCUUGCGUCACCGAACUGUGGCGGACCGCUCUGCGAGACACGCAACGGAGCCACAAACUGUGCCAGCAACACAUUUUCCUCCAAAGCAAACACGGUUAUAAAACAGAGUGAGUGCAUAGCUCCGCCACACCUGCAUCCACAAGUACAAGAGUUGAGGUGUCCAACCCUGGAUGAUGCAUGUUGUCAGACGCCAAACAAAACAUCCUGUGGAAUCACUAAGAUUAUGUCCAUGUGUGAAGUCGUAGCGUUGCAAAAUCUCUGUAAAGGAAAAAAAAAAAGAAAGUUGAAAUAAACACUUGCAGCUCAGGA